This is a long non-coding RNA of Gallus gallus (chicken), 2039 nucleotides long. Lineage: Eukaryota; Metazoa; Chordata; Aves; Galliformes; Phasianidae. The record is from Ensembl.
CUGGGAUCCUCCUUCCCCCCAGCCUUUCUGCUGUCAGGAAAAGGGAUCUGGGCUUCUUUACUCAUCGAGGCUGCAGACACCUGCGUUCCUCAGCCCUUAGCAGGACACAGGAGUGGAGGAGAAGCCUGACAUGAUGCUCCUAUGCCAAGUACUCAGACGUUCCUCCCCCCCCUCCAGGGAAUAUCUCCACAGCAGGAGGAAAGGGAUGCAGCCGGGGCAGUUCCCAGCCUCAGUUAAUGUCACAUCCCUAGGGACACGGACAGCUGCAUGCAGGUCAGGUCCACCUUGCCCAUUGCAGAGGAGUUAAGACACUGGGCUGGGAAAGGAGGAAGCAGGAAUCUGUAUGCACUCACUAAGUCAUGGUGCAUCGCUGCUGCAGGGGGGCUGCUGAGUGUGCUGUGGCUUGUAUGGGGCACUGGGUUCCCUUGCUAGGUGGUGCUCCUUGGCCUCUAUUUCUCCUUCUGUCUGCUCCAGAAUCUCGCUUGAUUUGCCCCUCAGCAGAACAUGCUGCUGCAUGUUUAGGCUGAGAAAGCAAAACAGACAACACUGCAGCUGCUGGGUUUGGGGAAGGAAAGCUCUCAGUUUUGACUUCCAACCACAAAAUGCAUGCUGGAUUCUUCCUGACAGGAGUGACAAGAAACAGACCCAUGGAUCUUCUCUGGUUGCAGAAAGAGAGAGAGCACUGAAGAUACCUCAUGGCCCUUGUGUGCUGGGCCACGGGGCAGGCAGGGCUUAUGCGAGAUACCAAGCAAGAUGGGCGCUGAUAGGCUUACAGUCUGGAUAUGAAUGCUCUCAGAGUCUUUCUUUUAAAAGAGGACCAACAUUUCACAGGCAGGAAAAAGACCUGUUUGUGGACAGCAUGUCCUUGACUGUCUCAGAGAUGCUAGCACUGCUGAGUAGGAAGUGCUCUUUUGGAUCUAUUUGCUCUAUAAACAGAAACAAGGAAGGAAGAAACGAAGGAAGCAAGAAGAGAGCGACAUGGUGGAUGUGUCAUCAACAAAGCCACCCCUUACAAGGGUUCCCACAGCAUCUGAUUACAACCCAUGGCAGAGGGUGCAGAGACUUGGGCAGUGCGCAGGAGGGUUGCCUCAGCCUUGUGCCUCUUCCAAGGAGCUGCAGCACCAGGCUCGCAGGUGGAUGAGGAGCUUCUCCGGAGCUCCCAGAAGAAGCGGCACGGUCCCAUCAACGCUGUAAAAAUAGAGCCUUCUCAGUGGGAUCGCUGCUUCAGGCCGGUCCUUGUGAGCUUGUGGGCACCUGGCAGAAGUAGGAUGAGUGCUGCUGUGUGCAGAGCUCACAGAUGGUGUGCUGGCACUAAGCCCUGUGAAAGGUGUGUUCGGGGCUCCCGCCUGAGGCCUGCUUGGCGUGCCCUAGGCCAGCCCCCACCAAGUGCGCGCCCCUGGAUGCUGCGGGGGAUACGUGUGCUGUCUGCUGAGCGGAUCCGGACUAUCAGGUUGUACACAGCUUUUGCAAAGCCUCCUUUUCCAAAACUGACACUUCCUGAUCUAUCGGCUUUGAUGUCUUUGGCAGCAGCUGGGGAGUUGUGCGUCUCAGCGGUCAAAGUUUUGCGAGACAGCGCUGACCGCACUGCCUUCGGAUGCCGUCCCAUCCGUUUUCAUUUAGGGAGGAUUCAUUCACUCCAUGUCCCUCACUAUCGGCAGAUGCAGGAGGGCUGCUUUUUGGGAGGCAACAGCUUUUAGGGUCGUUUCCCUGCAGCCGCUUCGGACAAAGCCACCCUGGUCAGGUGCUCCCGUCCUCUUGCAGAUGCCACGGGACUGCCGAGCUCACCGCAGCCCGACAACCCAAGCGGGAAGCGGAGAGGAGCAAUGCCCUGCCCUGGCUCUGGAGGCUUCUGCGGGCAGCCGGGCGCCGGGCACCACCAGCACCAGUGCCUCCAUCAGCCCAAGCAGCACUCCCUAGGGAGGAGCCAGGGAAUCCCAGGCUCCGUUUCCUAGGGAAAGGCUACAACCUGGGGACGGUGCUGGCUGCCGGCCGCCCGCAGGUUCGCACCGCUUCCUGAGGAAGCGCUCAGUCACGUUUGG